This 104-nucleotide non-coding RNA is filed under the name Bacillus sp. (in: firmicutes). Its description in RNAcentral is "Bacillus sp. SAM-I sequence". It matches the Rfam family "SAM riboswitch aptamer (S box leader)". From Rfam's summary of the family: The SAM riboswitch is found upstream of a number of genes which code for proteins involved in methionine or cysteine biosynthesis in Gram-positive bacteria. The record is from RNAcentral. Lineage: Bacteria; Bacillati; Bacillota; Bacilli; Caryophanales; Bacillaceae. RNAcentral also lists the same sequence under 1 other name.
AGCUUAUCCAGAGAGGUGGAGGGACUGGCCCUUUGAAGCCUCGGCAGCAGAUUCAUGGAGAAUACUGUGCCAACUCCAGCAGGCGUGAGUCUGGGAGAUAAGAA